Perognathus longimembris pacificus (Pacific pocket mouse) is the source of this 1252-nucleotide long non-coding RNA. RefSeq lists it as uncharacterized. The transcript is spliced from 3 exons. NCBI's taxonomy places the organism in Eukaryota, Metazoa, Chordata, Mammalia, Rodentia, Heteromyidae. The record is from RefSeq and is a predicted model, not a curated record.
UUACAAAUUUGUGUUUCAGGUGCCCUAUUACAAUUCACUCCACUCUGAAAAUUGACAAGAAUCUAACCUAUAUGACCAUGAAGAUCCAAUAAGAUUGCCAUGUAAGCCCAGAUAACAUAGUAGCCAAGGCUCUCGUCCACGGCAGAGUGAAAGCAAUCAUACCAGCCUGUCCCACAGCAUUCCCUGCCACUGCAACAUACCCAGUCUCAUCGACAAGCAUGCACAGCCCAGCACAGCUUCCUAGAGAUGCCCACUGUCUCUGCUACUCUGAGUCCUAGAACCAGAGCCCAAAAUGCACAAGAUCUCUUGGCUGAACCCAGCUCUAAGGGCCCCUUCAGGAAGAGGUGGACAGAGUUACAGACACUAAGCUUUUCAAGAACAUGAAAAACUUCCACCAACCUAUGUACAUGGACCUCCAAGGGGCCACAGGGACCUAUCACCCAAGAAGAUCCUCAAUGAUGGCUUGAGGAAGGAAAGGGAGAUAUGCUUCUCUCAAGAGGCUUGUUCCUUUGGCAGUUAUCAAUACUUACUUACUAAACAUGUACUACUGUGCCAGAGAGGUCAAGGAAUCAGAAAUGGUUCCCUCUGAAUUUAUUCUAAUGAUGAGUAAUAAAAUAAAGAUGUGCAGCUACUUACAUAUGUGUUACUUAUAUACAGGUAGAGAGCAUUUUAUACACAAGGUGCUGCACAAGAUGUUCCUUUGGAGCUGGGUAUGAGAACUCAUACCUGUAAAACUAGCUGCUUUCAGAGUCUGGGAUCAAGCCAAUCACUACUCAAGGCCAGCACUGGGGAAAAGUUUGUAAUAUUUCAUAUUAAUCAAAAUGCUGGACAUAGUGAUGUUUACUUGUCAUCCCAGCUACUCAGAAAGUGUAAGUAGGAGAAUCACCAUGGGAGGGGGAAACAACACAAUAUCCUACUUGAAAAAUAAUGGGAACGAAAAUGGCUGGAGGUAUGGUACAAGGCCUCUUAGCAAAUGUAAAGCCCUGAGUUCAAACCCCAGUAUGACCAAAAAUGAAACCGGUUUGUUCCAUCACAGAAAAAAUAAUGAAAUUAUUCUUAAGCAUCUGUCAGGAUAAUGGCUUCUGGAGAAGGAGUAGUAGGGAUAAGACAUUCACAUGAAGUGCAAGAAAAGCCAGGAGGAAGACAAAUAAAAGAAGGGGUAUUUAGGAACUUUGGAUGCCAGGUCGAAAAGGAAAACUAUGAACAAGAGACAUGAAGGAUAAAGCAAAAAAUACAAAAGUCAGCCCAGCUU